This 481-nucleotide ribosomal RNA is filed under the name uncultured bacterium. RNAcentral's name for it is "bacterial SSU rRNA". It matches the Rfam family "Bacterial small subunit ribosomal RNA", at positions 29 to 507 of the family's 1533-position model. The record is from RNAcentral.
AACGAACGCUGGCGGCGUGCUUAACACAUGCAAGUCGAGCGAGAAAGCCCUUCGGGGUGAGUACAGCGGCGGACGGGUGAGUAACGCGUAGGAAUCUACCCAGUAGUGGGGGACAACUUGGGGAAACUCAAGCUAAUACCGCAUACGCCCUACGGGGGAAAGCGGGGGACCUUCGGGCCUCGCGCUAUUGGAUGAGCCUGCGUCGGAUUAGCUAGUUGGUGGGGUAAAAGCCUACCAAGGCGACGAUCCGUAGCUGGUCUGAGAGGAUGAUCAGCCACACUGGAACUGAGACACGGUCCAGACUCCUACGGGAGGCAGCAGUGGGGAAUAUUGCGCAAUGGGGGCAACCCUGACGCAGCCAUGCCGCGUGUGUGAAGAAGGCCCUAGGGUUGUAAAGCACUUUCAAUUGGGAAGAAAAGCUCAUCGUUAAUAGCGUUGAGCCCUGACAUUACCUUUAGAAGAAGCACCGGCUAACUCCGUG